This 253-nucleotide ribosomal RNA is filed under the name uncultured bacterium. Its description in RNAcentral is "partial 16S ribosomal RNA". It matches the Rfam family "Bacterial small subunit ribosomal RNA", at positions 524 to 776 of the family's 1533-position model. The record is from RNAcentral.
UACGGAGGGUGCAAACGUUAUUCGGAAUCAUUGGGCUUAAAGGGUGCGUAGGCGGGCUCGUGAGUCAGGUGUGAAAUUUCGGAGCUUAACUCCGAAACUGCAUUUGAUACUGCGGUGCUCGAGGACUGGAGAGGAGACUGGAAUUUACGGUGUAGCAGUGAAAUGCGUAGAGAUCGUAAGGAAGACCAGUGGCGAAGGCGGGUCUCUGGACAGUUCCUGACACUGAGGCACGAAGGCCAGGGGAGCAAACGGG